This 705-nucleotide ribosomal RNA is filed under the name Triticum aestivum (bread wheat). RNAcentral's name for it is "partial small subunit ribosomal RNA". The record is from RNAcentral. Lineage: Eukaryota; Viridiplantae; Streptophyta; Magnoliopsida; Poales; Poaceae.
AUGCCUACUCUAUAUUGGAGCCCGUGUGCAUGCCAUUGCUUGGACCUAAUAUUCGAAGAUAUAGGAAAGUUGAAGGCAUUUAAGAAGCCUAUUGCAGGGGCUAGACGUGUCACAACUUUCAUCUAUAGACAUGGAAGACUUCUUAGUCUAAUGAGGAAGGCCACUGGUGGGGAUCUUGUGAGACCAGCAGCAACUCGUUUUGCCACAGCCAUCCUCACACUUAGGAGUUUGGUCAAGAACAAGGCUGCAUUGAGGAGUUUAUUUACAUCUGCUGAAUGGGUUGGAAACAAGUUAAAAACACAAGUUGGCUUGAAUGUGCAAGAGAUUAUACUUUCAACGGAGUGGUGGAGCGCAAUUGAGGACUGCCUUAGAGCUUCAACUCCACUUCUUAGAGUUCUUAGAGUAGAGGAUGGUGAUGAGAAGCCUGCCAUGCCAGAGAUUAAAGCACUUAUGAUUUAUGCAAAGGAGAGGAUCAAUCUAGGUUUCCCUCAACAAAACAAGCAACCAUUGCUCAAGAAGAUCUUGGCCAUUGUUGACAAGCGUUGGGAGAAUCAAAUGGAUCAUCCAUUGUACGGGGCUGCUCUAUUUUUGAACCUAGGAAGGUUCGUUCCUAUUGUAAGCAGAAAUGAUGAUGCCUUAGUUGGGGAGCUUAGGAGUUGCUUUAGUGAUGUGCUUGCAAAAAUGGUACCGGAUGUCAAUGUUUGA